GAUGAACGCUGGCGGCGUGCCUAAUACAUGCAAGUCGAGCGAACGGACGAGGAGCUUGCUUCUCUGAUGUUUGCGGCGGGCGGGGGAGUAACACGUGGAGAACCCACCUAUAAGACUGGGAUCACCUCGGGAAACCGGAGCUUAUACCGGAUGAUAUUUUGAACCGCAUGGUUCAAAAGUGAAAGACGGGGUUUCUGUCACUUAUAGAUGGAUCCGCGCUGCAUUAGCUAGUUGGGAAGGUAAAGGCUUACCAAGGCAACGAAGCAUAGCCGACCUGAGAGGGUGAUCGGCCACACUGGAACUGAGACACGGUCCAGACUCCUACGGGAGGCAGCAGUAGGGAAUCUUCCGCAAUGGGCGAAAGCCUGACGGAGCAACGCCGCGUGAGUGAUGAAGGUCUUCGGAUCGUAAAACUCUGUUAUUAGGGAAGAACAUAUGUGUAAGUAACUGUGCACAUCUUGACGGUACCUAAUCAGAAAGCCACGGCUAACUACGUG
This 497-nucleotide ribosomal RNA is filed under the name uncultured bacterium. RNAcentral describes it as "partial 16S ribosomal RNA". It matches the Rfam family "Bacterial small subunit ribosomal RNA", at positions 28 to 507 of the family's 1533-position model. The record is from RNAcentral.